Long non-coding RNA from Balaenoptera acutorostrata (minke whale), 2900 nucleotides. RefSeq lists it as uncharacterized. The record is from RefSeq and is a predicted model, not a curated record. The transcript is spliced from 9 exons. NCBI's taxonomy places the organism in Eukaryota, Metazoa, Chordata, Mammalia, Artiodactyla, Balaenopteridae.
UGGUGGGGCUCGGCUGGGCGAGACCAUCCACGAGGAUCCGGCGGGGAGGGCGGGCUGUACCAUCCGCGGGAGGAGCUUCGGGUCCUCUUCGCGCGCCCGGGCGCCGCGGGGCCCGGCCAUCUCCGGGCUGCCCUCGGAGGCCGGGCCGCGCGGGCGUUUGGCGCCCAGCCCCCUACUCUGCGCGGCGCCCUCUUUGUGUACAGGCCCGCGGCAGCCCCCCGCUUUCUUCCCCGCGGAUGCGCACGUGCGUCCCGAGCGCGGCGGCUGUGCCCAGAGACCCGCCUGACCCCGGGCGGCCUUAGCCCUGGUCCGGGCUCCAGCCACCGCAACACGCUCGCCUCUGGUCUCGCGCUCUGCCCUCAGGCACUGUCCCCCGCUGAUCCACGCAAGGCCCCGUCUGCAGGUGAAGUGGCCUCCCUUGGAGCGACCCGAAAAGUGUGGUCCGUAUUUCAAGGUGGACUUUAAAAGGCGGUGCUGCCUUGCGCCCGCGGGCCCCGCCGGUGGCCGUGCGCUCCUAGACGUUAAGGGAAGGGCAGGCCUUCCCUAGUGCAGAGGCACGGGGCUUGGCCGACUGUCCAUUUUUGCAGAAACCUUCCUCCUGUGUGGGAUCGCUGUCUGGAGAAGGGCUCCCGCGCUGCUCCGGGAAGAAGCCGAACCAGGACGGGAACACGUGGCUGGAAGGUGCCUGGGAAUUUUAAGGCAGGGACAGCAGAGCAUUAUACGACGAAGCUCGGGCCCAACCGUCUUCCCUGGUCACAGGCGCGGUGCAGCCGCCCUGGCCUCCCUGGCCUCAUCCUAGUGCUGGCCCAGGGCUGAAGCUUUCACCUGGUUCCCACCAAGUGACGCAGCAGGGGUCUCGGACCAGGAAGACCUGGGGGUGUGCAGCCCCCUGAUAGCCAGGGCCAUCUCCAGAAAAGAGGAAGAGCUGCAAGUGCCGUCAGUGAUCCCCUCCAGGCACCCAGAGCCUUAACUGAAAUACUGGAUCGUUCCCUAGAUUUUUGCUACAUUAAACUAUAUUGUCCAGUUAAAAAAAAAAAAGAGUACGAAACACCGUGGUAGAGGACAACGAUUCCUGGCUCUCCUCUGACUGCACAGCCUUUGGACAGCUUUGCCAGUGAAAGAGCUUUGUUCCAACCACCUGCCCCAGUGCAGCUGUGUCGAUGGCACGAAGCUUCGUUCCGCAGCUCCCAUUUCACAGCGGUCCCCUCUCCCCGGUCUCGUUGCGGGUCACACCAUGAUGGCUGCCCACCCCUCAGAUGGACCACAGGCUCUGGAGUUGGCUGCUCCCGAGGGGAGCCAGGUGGCGACUUUUGAGAAGGACCAGAACAGACCUCCUCGGGCCACGCAGCUGCAAGUGGCACAGUGACCCAGCUGCUCGCUUGCAACCAGCGACUUUCCCAAACCAGCUGCUGCUUCAGCUUCCUUUGUGAUCGGGCCAGUUUCUAAAUUGGGUAACGGUCAAGAGGCAUGGUCUGUGAUGUCAUGUAUGUAAAAAUCUGUUUCUCGUUGGAGUUACAAAAGUAAUGACAACACGAGCUUUCGCAGGGCCGAGCUCACUUUGUUCUGAUCGCUGCCACCGGCGUAGGGGGUCCAGGGUGGUGGGUGGAUGAAGCCCACCUCUGCCCGAAGCAUCCAGCCGGGCUGUGCAUCCACUUCCUGGUCGGAGAAACGGAACUAACAAGCAGAAUCCAACUUCUCUUUAUUGUUUGCUAUGAAGAGUGGUCUGAUUUAAACAUUACUCGAAGGCCCCUGCUUAUUUUACCAAGCACAAUGUCCUCAACGUUCCUCCAUGUUGUAUCAGCUCCAACGUUCCUGCGAGGAGAAUGACAGCAAACACCAUCUCCCGCCAAGACAUCUUGCGUGUCUGGGGUUUUCUGUUGAGCUUUGGAUGCCGGGGCAUCGAGGAAACAUUGCCAGACGCGUCCCCCUCUCUGGCCUCCCCACAGGGGUGGGGCUUCCAGGGCAGCUCCCAGAGGCGAGAUGGCCAGUUCAGGAAUUUCCUUGGCGCCUCGAGGCACCCCCUGGGCAGCUGUUGUACAACAAGAAUUUGGCAUCUUUGUCUCCGGUUCCUGCUCCACCCCUCAGACCACACCUGAGUUUAUGCUAAUGAGGAACUCCAGGCGCUGGAAACUCAGAUGGGCGUCUGGAUCAGCGACUCACGUGGCUGUGCUGAUGGGCGGAGGGCGCACCCGAGGGCCCUCCCGGACCUCACCUGUAGUCAUCAGGACCUGCUUUCCUGAGUUCCCUCCCACCCUGGGCCCAGGAGUCACCGGCGCCCUUGGGCGAUUCCUACGGGGUCAAGUUUGAGCAGCUCGGCCCUAGAGGCAGCAGCCUCAGGGCAUCUCGAGGGCUGCACGGUCCGACCUCAGGCAGACACUGUGCACUGCCAGAAAGAAAAGGAUCUGCUUGGAGGACCAUGAGGCCCAGGCUGGAGCUCGUCCUGCCCACGAACCUCGCUGUGCAGUGUGCACAUGUUAGCUCUAUUCAGAUCCAUCUCCUUCCCUUCCGGUCGCCAUCUCAGGGCUUCCCUGGUGGCGCAGUGGUUAAGAAUCCGCCUGCCAAUGCAGGGGAUACGGGUUCGAGCCCUGAUCCAGGAAGAUCCCACGUGCUGAGGAGCAACUAAGCCUGUGAGCCACAACUACUGAGCCCACGCCCCUAGAGCCCGUGCUCCACAACAAGAGAAGCCACCGCGAUGAGAGGACCAUGCACCGCAACGAAUAGUAGCCCCCGCUUGCCGCAACUAGAGAAAGCCCAUGUGCAGCAAAGACCCAGUGUAGACAAAAAUAAAUAAAGAAAAAAGAAAUCUCAGCUUUAAAAAAAAAAAAAUUCGCUCUGAAAACAGCAUUUGGUGGCAUGAAGCUUUGUCUAUUUCCCUGCAAUAAACCCACAUUUUACUUUUG